AACGAACGCUGGCGGCAUGCCUAACACAUGCAAGUCGAACGAGACCUUCGGGUCUAGUGGCGCACGGGUGCGUAACGCGUGGGAACCUGCCCUUAGGUUCGGAAUAACUCCCCGAAAGGGGUGCUAAUACCGGAUAAUGUCUUCGGACCAAAGAUUUAUCGCCUUUGGAUGGGCCCGCGUUGGAUUAGCUAGUUGGUAGGGUAAAAGCCUACCAAGGCGACGAUCCAUAGCUGGUCUGAGAGGAUGAUCGGCCACACUGGGACUGAGACACGGCCCAGACUCCUACGGGAGGCAGCAGUGGGGAAUAUUGGACAAUGGGCGAAAGCCUGAUCCAGCAAUGCCGCGUGAGUGAUGAAGGCCUUAGGGUUGUAAAGCUCUUUUACCCGGGAUGAUAAUGACAGUACCGGGAGAAUAAGCUCCGGCGAACUCCGU
RNAcentral lists this ribosomal RNA (432 nucleotides) under uncultured bacterium. Its description in RNAcentral is "partial 16S ribosomal RNA". It matches the Rfam family "Bacterial small subunit ribosomal RNA", at positions 29 to 506 of the family's 1533-position model. The record is from RNAcentral.